UUCCGGUUGAUCCUGCCAGAGGUUACUGCUAUCGGAGUUCGAUUAGGCCAUGCGANGUMUAAAGGUUUCUUCGGAAGCCUUGGCGGNACUGCUCAGUAACACGUGGAUAACCUGCCCUUAGGUCUGGCAUAACCCCGGGAAACUGGGGAUAAUACCGGAUAGCUCAGGGGUCGCUGGAAUGCGCCCUGAUCCAAAGCUCCGGCGCCUAAGGAUGGGUCUGCGACCUAUCAGGUUGUAGUGGGUGUAAUGUACCUACUAGCCGACGACGGGUACGGGUUGUGAGAGCAAGAGCCCGGAGAUGGAUUCUGAGACACGAAUCCAGGCCCUACGGGGUGCAGCAGGCGCGAAACCUUUACAAUGUGCGAAAGCAUGAUAAGGGAACUCCGAGUGCCAGCAUUAAAUGUUGGCUGUCCUUGUGCCUAAAACGCACAAGAUAGCAAGGGCCGGGUAAGACCGGAGCCAGCCGCCGCGGUAACACCGGCGGCCCGAGUGGUAGCCGCUAUUAUUGGKUCUAAAGGGUCCGUAGCCGGUUUGAUAAGUCCUCUGGGAAAUCUGAUUGCUCAACAAUCAGGCUGCCAAGGGAUACUGUCAAACUUGAGACCGGGAGAGGUAAGAGGUACUUCAAGGGUAGGAGUGAAAUCUUAUAAUCCUUGGGGGACCGUCUGUGGCGAAGGCGUCUUACCAGAACGGGUCUGACGGUGAGGGACGAAAGCUGGGGGCGCGAACCGGAUUAGAUACCCGGGUAGUCCCAGCCGUAAACGAUGCUCGCUAUGUGUCAGAUACGGUGCGACCGUAUCUGGUGCCGUAGGGAAGCCGUGAAGCGAGCCACCUGGGAAGUACGGCCGCAAGGCUGAAACUUAAAGSCAUUGGCGGGGGAGCACUACAACGGGUGGAGCUGCGGUUUAAUUGG
This 910-nucleotide ribosomal RNA is filed under the name uncultured archaeon TA1a4. RNAcentral describes it as "bacterial SSU rRNA". It matches the Rfam family "Archaeal small subunit ribosomal RNA", at positions 1 to 909 of the family's 1478-position model. The record is from RNAcentral. Lineage: Archaea; Methanobacteriati; Methanobacteriota.